AACACCAAUUUGCUGGGACAAAAUUACAGACAUAGGAAUUAGUUCAUGCUCCAGUGAUUCUUCAUUAAUACAUGCAGCCUUCAUUGGCAUUUGCAAAGGAAUGUGAAGGACGGAAAACUAAUAGGCAGGCUUUGUAACCAACUUGCCCUGCUGCCAGCCCUUGGAGCAUCUUUCAAGUCAUCACACUUGGCUACUCUCUCAAAUGGCAUCUCAUGUGUGCACACUUCACCAUGAAAAGUCAAAGUGGAGAGCACCAGAAGUAUAUUUUUGCAUUUGAGAUGAAACAAAUUUAGGGAGAAAAUAGCUUGCUCAAGAAACUCUGCUGCUUGAGGCAAAGGUCAAGAUGGUCAUCCCUUCAUUACAGAAGCAGAUCGGAUGGAAGAACUUAUCACACGGCAUCAGCAAUGGAAAAGCAUUAAGAUUGGGAAUCAUUGACAGGUUUUGCUGAUCAAUGAGAAGAAACA
Long non-coding RNA from Sceloporus undulatus (fence lizard), 464 nucleotides. RefSeq lists it as uncharacterized. NCBI's taxonomy places the organism in Eukaryota, Metazoa, Chordata, Lepidosauria, Squamata, Phrynosomatidae. The transcript is spliced from 3 exons. The record is from RefSeq and is a predicted model, not a curated record.